AUCCAGACUCCUACGGGAGGCAGCAGUAGGGAAUUUUGCGCAAUGGGGGAAACCCUGACGCAGCAACACCGCGUGAAUGUUAAGCCCUUCGGGGUGUAAAGUUCUGUCAAUAGGGACGAAUUUUGACUGUACCUAUAAAGGAAGCACCGGCUAACUCCGUGCCAGCAGCCGCGGUAAUACGGGGGGUGCGAGCGUUAUCCGGAUUUAUUGGGUUUAAAGGGUGCGUAGGCGGACGCUUAAGUCAGCGGUAAAAUUGCGGGGCUCAACCUCGUCGAGCCGUUGAAACUGGGUGCCUUGAGUGGGCGAGAAGUACGCGGAAUGCGUGGUGUAGCGGUGAAAUGCAUAGAUAUCACGCAGAACUCCGAUUGCGAAGGCAGCGUACCGGCGCCCAACUGACGCUGAAGCACGAAGGCGGGGGUAUCGAACAGGAUUGAUACCCUAGUA
This 444-nucleotide ribosomal RNA is filed under the name uncultured bacterium. RNAcentral describes it as "bacterial SSU rRNA". It matches the Rfam family "Bacterial small subunit ribosomal RNA", at positions 329 to 792 of the family's 1533-position model. The record is from RNAcentral.